UCCCUGGUGGUCCAGUGGUUAGGACUAAGUGUUUUCUAAGUGUUUGCUUGAGGCCCAGGUUCAAUCCCUGGUCUGGGAA
Molecule: transfer RNA, 79 nt
Filed under: Ovis aries (sheep)
Lineage: Eukaryota; Metazoa; Chordata; Mammalia; Artiodactyla; Bovidae
Rfam family: tRNA
About the family: Transfer RNA (tRNA) molecules are approximately 80 nucleotides in length. Their secondary structure includes four short double-helical elements and three loops (D, anti-codon, and T loops). Further hydrogen bonds mediate the characteristic L-shaped molecular structure. tRNAs have two regions of fundamental functional importance: the anti-codon, which is responsible for specific mRNA codon recognition, and the 3' end, to which the tRNAs corresponding amino acid is attached (by aminoacyl-tRNA synthetases). tRNAs cope with the degeneracy of the genetic code in two manners: having more than one tRNA (with a specific anti-codon) for a particular amino acid; and 'wobble' base-pairing, i.e. permitting non-standard base-pairing at the 3rd anti-codon position.
Source: Rfam by way of RNAcentral